This 254-nucleotide ribosomal RNA is filed under the name uncultured bacterium. RNAcentral's name for it is "partial 16S ribosomal RNA". It matches the Rfam family "Bacterial small subunit ribosomal RNA", at positions 524 to 776 of the family's 1533-position model. The record is from RNAcentral.
CACGUAGGGUGCGAGCGUUGUCCGGAAUUAUUGGGCGUAAAGAGCUCGUAGGCGGUUUGUCGCGUCGGCCGUGAAAACCUGCAGCUUAACUGUGGGCUUGCGGUCGAUACGGGCAUCACUGGAGUUCGGCAGGGGAGACUGGAAUUCCUGGUGUAGCGGUGAAAUGCGCAGAUAUCAGGAGGAACACCGGUGGCGAAGGCGGGUCUCUGGGCCGAUACUGACGCUGAGGAGCGAAAGCGUGGGGAGCGAACAGG